RNAcentral lists this ribosomal RNA (471 nucleotides) under uncultured bacterium. RNAcentral's name for it is "partial 16S ribosomal RNA". It matches the Rfam family "Bacterial small subunit ribosomal RNA", at positions 355 to 818 of the family's 1533-position model. The record is from RNAcentral.
UAGGGAAUCUUCGGCAAUGGACGAAAGUCUGACCGAGCAACGCCGCGUGAGUGAAGAAGGUUUUCGGAUCGUAAAACUCUGUUGGUAGAGAAGAACGUUGGUGAGAGUGGAAAGCUCAUCAAGUGACGGUAACUACCCAGAAAGGGACGGCUAACUACGUGCCAGCAGCCGCGGUAAUACGUAGGUCCCGAGCGUUGUCCGGAUUUAUUGGGCGUAAAGCGAGCGCAGGUGGUUUAUUAAGUCUGGUGUAAAAGGCAGUGGCUCAACCAUUGUAUGCAUUGGAAACUGGUAGACUUGAGUGCAGGAGAGGAGAGUGGAAUUCCAUGUGUAGCGGUGAAAUGCGUAGAUAUAUGGAGGAACACCGGUGGCGAAAGCGGCUCUCUGGCCUGUAACUGACACUGAGGCUCGAAAGCGUGGGGAGCAAACAGGAUUAGAUACCCUGGUAGUCCACGCCGUAAACGAUGAGUGCUA